UACGUAGGGUGCGAGCGUUAAUCGGAAUUACUGGGCGUAAAGCGUGCGCAGGCGGUUAUGUAAGACAGAUGUGAAAUCCCCGGGCUCAACCUGGGAACUGCGUUUGUGACUGCAUAACUAGAGUACGGCAGAGGGAGGUGGAAUUCCACGUGUAGCAGUGAAAUGCGUAGAGAUGUGGAGGAACACCGAUGGCGAAGGCAGCCUCCUGGGCCAGUACUGACGCUCAUGCACGAAAGCGUGGGGAGCAAACAGG
Molecule: ribosomal RNA, 253 nt
Filed under: uncultured bacterium
Lineage: Bacteria
Description: partial 16S ribosomal RNA
Rfam family: Bacterial small subunit ribosomal RNA
Source: RNAcentral